GGUGUCUACACCAGAGAUGUAAACUCUAUUGCUUAUUUAUGCCUUUUGGUAUUAAUGGUUCAACUAAGAGUUGAGUUUGCAUUUGGAAUGAAAGUGUUUUUAUUUUUGGCAAGUAAAAAUUGCCCCAUCUUUCCUUCUAUCGUUUUUUGUCUUCUUCCUUAUAUACAGUGUAAAUACGUGUUUGCCCUUGUUCUUGGAUGCUGCCACGUGGUUGAUCUCACUAAUCUCAGUCGCCUCCUUCAUUUCCUCCUCUUCGUUUUGUGUUUCUCCUUUUCUCUUUCCUCUCUUCUCGUCGAUGCUCUCAAACAACAUUCCUAACAAUGGCGAAUGAGCUUUUUUUACUUGAUGUACUCCUUCCGAAUCUCUUCACUCUCAGUUCGUCUUCUAUAUCCCUGGCAUGAUUCUCUCUUCUCUGAUUUUGUUAAAUUAGGGUUCUAUUUUUUGCUUGUAAUUGCUGAACUAGGGAUUUUUAUUUGAGUCGGCAAAUUCAUUUUAGAGUUUUUGUUGCAUGAAUUUGUUAAUUUUAUAGUUAUUUGGAUCAUUUUGAUUUGAAUAGAUACCACUUUUGUUCAAUUUUCUUCAUCUUUGAUUUCAAUUGCCUUUUUUCUAAUUUUGAUUGUAGCUGUUAAUUUACGUUGGAUGCUUGGGAGAUGAAUAAUCUUGCAAUUGCGAAAUCAAGGGCUUUUCCGUGUAUUUCUUCAGUGAAAGGCCAUUGGAUGCUACCAUGUUCAUCCUUUUGUUCAAGUAUUAUAGAUCAGUUGGAGAGCUUUGACGUGUAAUAUUGUAAAAAACUGAACUCAACAACAGUAUUUGGAAAUGGUCAAUAGGCUGUUUGCAGACUUCUUCUGUACAGUUUGUUUCUCUGUGUUUUCUGUUGUUGUGUAUUCUCUGCUGGAUGGUUUAUGCAGUUGCUGCUUGUGUUGCUGCUUUGUGUGGCCUCUGCUGUAAUCUGUUACCCUGUCUGAUGCUCGUUUGUUUUAAAGUUGGUUGUCUUCUUCUUUUUUUUUUUGUGUAUGUCAGUUAGGGAUGGAGUAAGUUAGGAAUGCGGGUUGUUCUCCCUUAGCCGAGGUCUUUGUUUCUAUGUUUUGGAUAUUACUUGUAUUUCGUCAUUUUGGUAAUAAAUUUUAUCUAUUUUAUCCAAAAAAAUACAGCUUGAUGUCAUUGUUUCCAUAUCUAAUUAUGUUCUUUUAGCAUUUUGAAAGAUAUUAUAUAUUUUCUUUUAUAACCUCAUUGUGUUAAUUCUAUUUUUACUUUUGUAAUUCCAGAAAGAAAUCAAAAUAUGAGGAAAUGAACUUCAUCUUUCCUUUUCCACAACAUCAAGGAGAUAUUUCUCUGUAAACUAAUCAGGAACUAUCAUGAUUGUUGGAGUAUGGAUCGCCACCAUGAUCUAAUAUGUUUGAAAUCAAGGGAGGUUUGACUAUUAUAAUAAGCAUCAGGGGGCAAGCUUUACAAAGUUUUGCGUCAGAAUAAGACAGGAUAUUUGGGUCUGUUAUCCUGGAACUGGUUUCCAGGUUGCAGCAGCUAUGACAAAAGUCCGAGAAUUAGGAGAAUAUGGCAGAUCCAGCGGCGAGGGUUUCUGCUCAAGUUGGUGCAUUGAGAAAUGGGGUUCUUUAACAAAAUCUAGCAAAAUACAGGGGUUCAAGAUGAAGAUUUAGUUUCUUUUGUGAAAAAGUGGCAGAAGGCAGGGGCUUCUCUAUUUGGCGAUUGUUGUAGAACUACAACAUAGACGAUAAAUGACAUUUACACGACUCUCUCAGAGCAUUCAGUGCCUCCGGGUUAACAAGUCAUUUACACUUUUGUCUUGUAAAUGACUAAUUAGGAAAUAUGAUCUAUGCUUGUGUAUUAUUGUUGUCUUAAUUAAUUCAUGCAAAUUUAUUUACGGAAGGGACCUUCUCGUUUUCUGUAACCUAUAAAUAAAGCAUUUGAAUA
Molecule: long non-coding RNA, 1929 nt
Organism: Spinacia oleracea (spinach)
Lineage: Eukaryota; Viridiplantae; Streptophyta; Magnoliopsida; Caryophyllales; Amaranthaceae
Exons: 7
Source: RefSeq, a predicted model, not a curated record